UACGGAGGGAGCUAGCGUUGUUCGGAAUUACUGGGCGUAAAGCGCACGUAGGCGGCUAUUCAAGUCGGGGGUGAAAGCCCGGGGCUCAACCCCGGAACUGCCCUCGAAACUAGGUAGCUAGAAUCUUGGAGAGGCGAGUGGAAUUCCGAGUGUAGAGGUGAAAUUCGUAGAUAUUCGGAAGAACACCAGUGGCGAAGGCGGCAUCCUGGACCGAGAUUGACGCUGAGGCGCGAAAGCUAGGGGAGCAAACGGG
RNAcentral lists this ribosomal RNA (253 nucleotides) under uncultured bacterium. RNAcentral's name for it is "partial 16S ribosomal RNA". It matches the Rfam family "Bacterial small subunit ribosomal RNA", at positions 524 to 776 of the family's 1533-position model. The record is from RNAcentral.